AUCAUCACUUCAUCACCAUCUCAUCUUAUCAUCUUCUUCAACCUCCUCUUCCAUUCUUAAGAUGGGUUCUAGGUAGAACUCUAAAUUUAGAUUUUAGGGUUGAUAAAUCAUAGAAUUGAUAGUAAGAUAAAUGAUAUUGUGAUGAAUUUCUCCAUGAAUCACGUGAAUCUUCAUUAAUGAUGCUUCUAUGUGUGUUCUUGUAGUUGUU
RNAcentral lists this long non-coding RNA (208 nucleotides) under Lathyrus oleraceus (garden pea). RNAcentral's name for it is "Pisum sativum (pea) long non-coding RNA (PSAT_LNC029546)". Lineage: Eukaryota; Viridiplantae; Streptophyta; Magnoliopsida; Fabales; Fabaceae. The record is from RNAcentral.